This 69-nucleotide transfer RNA is filed under the name Lophotus capellei (unicornfish). RNAcentral describes it as "tRNA-Ala". It matches the Rfam family "tRNA". From Rfam's summary of the family: Transfer RNA (tRNA) molecules are approximately 80 nucleotides in length. Their secondary structure includes four short double-helical elements and three loops (D, anti-codon, and T loops). The record is from RNAcentral. Lineage: Eukaryota; Metazoa; Chordata; Actinopteri; Lampriformes; Lophotidae.
AAAGCCUUAGCUUAAUUAAAGCACCUGUUUUGCAUACAGGAGAUGUGAGCUAGAAUCUCGCAGGUUUUA